GGCAGCAGUGGGGAAUCUUCGGCAAUGGGGGCAACCCUGACCGAGCAACGCCGCGUGAGUGAAGAAGGUUUUCGGAUCGUAAAGCUCUGUUGUAAGAGAAGAACGUGUGUGAGAGUGGAAAGUUCACACAGUGACGGUAACUUACCAGAAAGGGACGGCUAACUACGUGCCAGCAGCCGCGGUAAUACGUAGGUCCCGAGCGUUGUCCGGAUUUAUUGGGCGUAAAGCGAGCGCAGGCGGUUUAAUAAGUCUGAAGUUAAAGGCAGUGGCUUAACCAUUGUUCGCUUUGGAAACUGUUAGACUUGAGUGCAGAAGGGGAGAGUGGAAUUCCAUGUGUAGCGGUGAAAUGCGUAGAUAUAUGGAGGAACACCGGUGGCGAAAGCGGCUCUCUGGUCUGUAACUGACGCUGAGGCUCGAAAGCGUGGGGAGCAAACAGGAUUAGAUACCCUGGUAGUCCACGCCGUAAACGAUGAGUACUAAGUGU
Molecule: ribosomal RNA, 484 nt
Filed under: uncultured Bacillota bacterium
Lineage: Bacteria; Bacillati; Bacillota
Description: bacterial SSU rRNA
Rfam family: Bacterial small subunit ribosomal RNA
Source: RNAcentral